GGCGCUGAUGCUUGGGGUUCUCAAAGGCCAGAAACACCGCCUUGGGAUGCAGCAGAGUAUAGUCAACUCAUCUCUGCACGGCCGUUGCUGCCACUACUAGAACAGUAUGCAGGCGUAGGUUCUUAUGACCAAAACACUCUCAGGGGGGCCCCAUGGCAAGUUCAGUCACAAGGCGCUAACACUGACUAUGUACGGGCAACCAACCUCAACUAGCUAGUAUGGCUAAUCAAGGGCCUUCAUGCAGCACGUGACAUCAGCCAGCACCCAUGUACCUGCCAUCGACGUCAUACACAGCGUAUUACGCUGGUGGUGACACGGCAAACGUCCCGUGGCAAGCUUCACAAAUUGCAGGUGGAGCACGACAUUUUGGUGUCACAGACCACACAAGAUGGCCAAAUGCAGCACAACAAGGUAAGGAAAAAAAUUGAACCACAAAAAACAUCACUACAUUUGUUGUUUGUAGUUUUUUGUAGGCAAAACAAUAGUUGCCAUGUUUGUUGAACAGUACCUGCCAUGACUGGACAGCUACAGCUGCCACACAUGUCCACACGCAGUCUCACGGCUUGCUGUUUGAAAAUAUGUCGUGCCAAAUCAAUCGAAGAUGGUGUGAUCCGUUGUGAUACACAUCUUAUUCAA
This is a long non-coding RNA of Triticum aestivum (bread wheat), 636 nucleotides long. RefSeq lists it as uncharacterized. The record is from RefSeq and is a predicted model, not a curated record. NCBI's taxonomy places the organism in Eukaryota, Viridiplantae, Streptophyta, Magnoliopsida, Poales, Poaceae. The transcript has 4 exons.